This is a small nuclear RNA of Eurytemora carolleeae, 107 nucleotides long. Lineage: Eukaryota; Metazoa; Arthropoda; Copepoda; Calanoida; Temoridae. The record is from RefSeq and is a predicted model, not a curated record.
GAAAAUGUCGUUUUUUCUCUUAUCUCUUCUUUGGAACGAUACAGAGAAGAUUAGCAUGGCCCCUGCGCAAGGAUGACACGCAAAAUCGUGAAGCGUUCCAUCAAGGU